UACGUAGGUGGCAAGCGUUGUCCGGAAUUAUUGGGCGUAAAGCGCGCGCAGGCGGUCCUUUAAGUCUGAUGUGAAAGCCCACGGCUCAACCGUGGAAGGUCAUUGGAAACUGGGGGACUUGAGUACAGAAGAGGAAAGCGGAAUUCCACGUGUAGCGGUGAAAUGCGUAGAGAUGUGGAGGAACACCAGUGGCGAAGGCGGCUUUCUGGUCUGUAACUGACGCUGAGGCGCGAAAGCGUGGGGAGCAAACAGG
RNAcentral lists this ribosomal RNA (253 nucleotides) under uncultured bacterium. RNAcentral's name for it is "partial 16S ribosomal RNA". It matches the Rfam family "Bacterial small subunit ribosomal RNA", at positions 524 to 776 of the family's 1533-position model. The record is from RNAcentral.